GAGAAAUUUUUAUUUGUUUGGAAUAAAAUAUGAAAAUAUAAAUUUGACUCAACGCGGGACAACUCACCAGAGCCUAUGUGCAGGAGACAGUGAGCUUUGAGAGCGGACUGGAUAGUACUUUGAGUGGUGCAUGGCCGUUUGCAACACGUGAGGUGACUUGUCAGGUUUACUCCGGUAACGUGUGAUGUGCUGUAUGCAAGUAUAUUGUGAGACUGCAGGCGGUAAGCCUGAUGAAGCGGCGCUAUAACAGGUCAGUGAUGCCCUUGGAUGUUCUGGGCUGCACGCGUAAUACAGUGGGAGCUGUAGAUAUGUAUAGGUGGAAAAGUUCCCGAGACUGGGAUCAUGCUUUGUAAGAAGGAUGUGAACGUGGAAUUCCUAGUAAUCGCUGCUCACUAAGUAGCGAUGAAUGAGUCCCUGUUCUUUGCACACACCGCCCGUCGCUAUCUGAGAUGGAUGUUUUUAUGAAGAU
Molecule: non-coding RNA, 469 nt
Filed under: Anncaliia algerae PRA339
Lineage: Eukaryota; Fungi; Microsporidia; Tubulinosematidae
Description: Microsporidia small subunit ribosomal RNA
Rfam family: Microsporidia small subunit ribosomal RNA
Source: Rfam by way of RNAcentral